AUUAUUUUUCUCGUAUAGCUGCUAUAUAGCGUUCGACUCCAUGGAAAAUAAAGGCUCCAAAUUAUAUAAAAAAUAUAGCAUAUAUACAAAGUGCAAUUUAGAUAGUAUUCCAGAAAAAAAUGCGCCAAUGUAAAUGCUGAAAAGUUUCCUAUCGUAUUGUCGAACAAAUUCAUAUCUACUUCUGAUCUACGCGACCUUAGAAGUUUGGAUUGUCCUACCUAAUCAUUUUACAUUUUAUUGUUUUCAGAACAAGAAUUAUUUUACUUCCCACUGUCUAUGUAAGGGGACUUAGAGCGGAUUCAUACUUUACUAUACGUGUCGUGUCGAAUGAUAGUCCCUAUGUCAGUUUCUCCAAUUCUAUUUUGCGUAGGAUAAGUUAAAAAAAUAAUUAAAAAUAUGUGUUACCGUAUUUUUAUUCGUGAAAUGUUACCUAUAUUUCUAAGUUAAUGAUUGUACUAUACUUCCAAAAAUAUGUCUGACAAACAUUUUACAUUAAAGCCAUUUUUCCAUGUAAAAAUGAACUGUUAUUGGGACCAUCUUCUGAAUUUAUGAUAAUUUAUUCAUAUUUUAAUGUACUCGGGUAAUAUUGCAGACAUUAUAUCAGCACCAAAUAAAUGCUGUGAACCAGAUAUAAUAAUAUAUUAAGUGGCGAAUAACGUUUCCAAAUCGCAUUUUCUUUUGACAUAUUUUUCUUUUUUUUUGCUCUUUUUUUCACGACCGGUUUGGCCUAGUAAGUCGAUGAUCCUGGGUUUGAAUCCCGGUAAGAGCAUUUAUUUGUGUGAUGUGCACAGAUAUUUGUUCCUGAGUCAUGGAUGUUUUCUAUGUAUUUAAGUAUUUGUAUAUUAUAUAUUAUUAUGUCGUUGUAUGAGUACCCACAAAACAAGCCUUCUCGGCUUGCCGUGGGACUCAGUCAAUUUGUGUAAGAAUGUCCCUAUAAUAUUUAUUUAUUGUUAUUAUUAUUGUAUGUCCGGUAACAGAACUCCCCAGGAGCACUCGGGUGUGUAAGGUCGCUACUCCCCAACUUAUUAUAAUUGUUAUUACUUUCAGCAUUUUUAAGUUGUUCAUCGGACACUGAGGCCAUUGAAGUUUCAAGCUGGCGGCAUCAAAAUGGAGUACCUAGAAACCAUACGGAAAUAAUGAGGAUGCAUCGACAUAAGAAGAAUCGAACAUGGGCAAGAUAAAGUUCAAGAAAAAAGCAAAUAUAAUGUGUACUUGUGUGUAGUCAAAGAAAGUUGAAAAAUAAAGCAUAAUUAAUGGCCAUAGAAUACAGAACCGAUACACGAACAUUAAGACUAUUAAAAAUAGACAUAUAGGUUGAUCGUACUACUCGUACUAAUGUAUAUCUUUUGUUCAAUUAUAUUAUUGCAUUAAAGUUAGAUUCUCUAGAUAUAUAUUAUUCAUAGGUUCUGUAUUCUAUACGAAUUGUUUCAGUGUAAUUAUUGUACUAAAUACCGUUGACCGCCUGUCAACAGUAUUUAUUUCUACAUUACUAUCACAGAAGAUUUUAGGCCCUACCGUACAGUUUUUGAAUUAGUAUUUACUAUGGACAUAUAUAGCGAAAUGUGAGUUUUUACCUAAAAUAUCAAUCUUUUGUGAACGUGGUGUAGAGUAUAUACCGCCUAAGACUGAAGUAGCUACGCGGGUUACGUUUUAAAAAUAGAAUCGUGUUCAUGGUCGGCCCAUGGUAAAAAUAAUUAGGUACCCGUAGACCCGCUGGUGAACACUGUUUAUGAUAACACUUAAAAUAAACCCCGUGGACCCACCAGGAGAACAUAUUGGAGAGACUAGAGAUAAUACACCGCUUUAAGGGCGGUCGCACUCGGCAUUGACAUCUGGCAUCUAGAUGGCGGGUGGACCUCAGCGAAUUUCAAAGAAAUAUUUAUAAACAUCCAAUGACGUUCGGCUCGGACACCAGAUCUUCAAUCUCCUGAUUCCUGUGGAGUCUCCAGGUUCCAUCCUCUCCACGUGUGAGUCCUAGGAUUUUUCGCGCUGCCAGACUCCGAUGACUCGGGCACGUAGUCCAGAUGGGUGAGGAUCGUGCAGCCUGGAGGGCGUACUCUGAAGUUCCAAAUGGCCGAAGACCAUCUAGACGUCCUAGGUAGGUCCCGCUGGAGAGACGAAAUGCAAAAAGACCUUAGCGAACUCGGCGCCGUCGACUAGAUGGAAACGGUUUUGGACAGAGAAGCAUGGCGGUCUUUGGUGUCGGAGGCCAAGAUCCACUUCGGGUCGCUGCGCCAUAGCAGUAAGUAUUUAUAAACAUACUGUACCUUCUGUGUACCUAACCCAAAACGAGAUAUUUAAGAAAAAGUCCACCCGCCAUUCUGACGUCUGGAUUGCGGUUGGACCUAUGAAAUCUUGCAUUAUACCGCACUAAAAGUAUGCAGUUAUAUGGUACAGUCGCCAUCAGAUAUAUCGGAGUGGCCGAGGUGCUCAAAGAUCUCUAAACACGCACUCUAACCUCUUGACAGUAGAGGCAUGUUCAGAUAUUCGUGGGUACCUUGGCCGCUCCGAUAUAUAUGAUGGUGACUGUACCUUCAGUGUACCUCUGUAAAUAGAAAUAGAAACCGGUGUACCUCUCCCCAAAACAAGCUAGGCUAAGCUCAUGCACAAUAUAACUGCAUACUUUUAGUGCGGUAUAAUGCAAGAUUUCAUAGGUCCACCCGCCAUCCUGACGUCAGGUUGGCGGGUGGACCGUUUUGUAAAAUAUCUCGUUUUGGGGAAAGGUACACUGGUUUCUAUUAAAGGUACACUGAGGUACACAGAAGGUACAAUAUGUUUAUAAAUAUUUCUUUGAAAUUCGCUGAGGUCCACCGCCAUCCUGACGCUUACCAUAUAUCUAAGGACCGACCUUAGGGGCAAUAACGAUAGUGCUAGUUCAGUUGUGUCAUUCACAAAUUCGAGCCAAUCGUGCUGUCUAACGCAACUAGAUGCGAUCAAUCGCGUGCGUAAUGCGAACUCAUCAACCAAUCACGUUGUGGUACUUGUGGCGUUAGACUGCACGAUUGGCUCAAACUCGUGUGCGUAACACCGCUGUACUGGCCCCAUUCUUAUUGCCCGUAAGGCCCGUCCUCAGAUAUAUUAUGUCAAUGACACAGUCGCGAUUUUAAAAAAUCACAUCGCUUCUGCUACCAAGUUGUUGAGCAUAACGUUUUCCUAUCCAUAGGUUCCAUCUGUCCAGUAGGAUCCACCAUCUCGAUCCACCAGAUUGAAGAGAUUGUUACUUAACUGAUGGAUCGAGAUAAUGAAACCUACUGAAUAGAGCGGGUCGAUUGGAUAUAACAAAGUACGCUUAUAUGAAACGCUACUCCGGUGUGCGAGUGAGACAGUCAGGCCAAUUUGAACUUGCAUUUGACAGAAAAUUGUCUCCAUCAAACGCUACCAGUUCCAUUGCCGGCCUCUUCGCUGCCUUCUAUAGUGGUUCAAUCUUACCUUGCUUAUGAAUAAAAAGGGGCGUGCACACCGAUAUUAGAGUAAUAUUGGAAUCAUAUCAGUUAAUUGCGGGCGUCUCGCUCGCACAAAUACAUGCGUAUAAGUGCGAAAUGAACGCACGAAUGACAGCUAACUGGUAUCAUUCCAAUAUUAUUCUAAAAUUGGUUUAAUGUCAGUUGCACUUUCGAAUUGGCCUACAUAGCGAUUUCCUUAGCCUGCACACCGGAUCGGCGUGUGGGCCGGCAUCUAGCUAAUGUAAAGCCACCUCAUUAGGUGCUUUUAGCCUUUUGAACGGCAAGAACACCUAAAGAUGUGGUGAGAGAAAGCCGCGCGUCCCUCAUGCACUGCACUAGCUUUACAGCUUGCAUUGCGACCAAUGUAUGCCGCUCACCGCCCCGCCGGUCGCGUGGGUCCAAUCCGCGGCCCUAGAAGACGUACUUUACAUAUAAACAAGAGCACGCGAGCAUAUUGCGAGUUGUGUAUGUGUACUUGUGUUAUCUAAGCGCACAAACGGUUACAAUAACAAGAAGUGUACACCGCGUGUGCAGUCCAACACGGGAGCACGGGUGCGAUUCGAAAAUAACGCGCUAGCGACGCAUUACGACAUUGAUACUUUACCAUUUGAACGCCAUAAACAAAAACGUUACUCACACGCCAAGGUCACGGGCGCAAGUGAGCUUGAAAGUGCAUGAGUAUUACAUUAGGGACUUUGACAGCGAUUAUAACAGCUAUAAUCAUUAAUGUGUUCAUGGCCCUUAAAUCAUGUCUAGUGACGGCGCCUUUAGGUGUUCUUGACGUUCAAAAGGUUAAGGGCGUUUGCUAGCUGGCGCUAAUGCACGGAGCGGGCAAACACGCGCAGGUGCCUUUGUAAGUAAAAUCAGUCGCACGCGUCCGCGCCAGUUAGCGUUGCUGAUACUGUAAGCCGCACGCCCGCUCCAUGCACACGCGCGACGUUGCGGACGCCCUAUGCCCUAAACCUUACUUGAAAGUGUGAAGGUUACUCUGACAGCGGCUAUAUCAGCUAUAAUGUAUUUAUGACGCUUUGAGCAUAGCUAGUUAAGACGCCUUAAGGUAUUCUUGGCGUUUAAAAGGUUAAGGGCGUUUGCUAGCUGGCGCGAGUGCACGGAGCGGGUGCACGCGCGCGGGUGCCUUUGUAGGUAAAAUUCGUUGCACGCGUCCGCGCCAGUUAGCGUCGCCAGUUACUGUUUUUCGUUAACCCGCUCCAGCUAGCAAACUAAUCGCAAAUGGUCCGAGAUUGGCGCAAUAACCAUGCAUUACCUUAUCUGGAUCUGGAUGCACCUAUUCACCAAUGCUUGCUUUAAAGUAACUUGUCGACUCGUCCUGAUAAUAUUUGUGCGACCGUGAAGAAAAUCUAUGCCGUCACUUAUUUUUCAAUUUAUAUGAAAUAAAGAUGUUAAAUGUAUUCAAAAGUUUUUAUUUAAUAAGGUAUGUAUAAGUGCUCUGUGCAUCCGCACCAGCUAGCGGUGCCCUUAGCAAACCAAUCGCAAAUGGUCCGAGAUUGGCGCAAUAACCAUGCAUUCUCUUAUCUGGAUCUGGAUGCACCUAUUCACUAGAAAAUGUAUGCCGUCAGUUAUUUUUCAAUUUAUAUGAAAUAAAGGUGUUAAAUGUAUUCAAAA
This is a long non-coding RNA of Cydia pomonella (codling moth), 5066 nucleotides long. RefSeq lists it as uncharacterized. Lineage: Eukaryota; Metazoa; Arthropoda; Insecta; Lepidoptera; Tortricidae. The transcript is spliced from 2 exons. The record is from RefSeq and is a predicted model, not a curated record.